RNA transcript from Physcomitrium patens, 1971 nucleotides. It is a transcript of the gene named ultraviolet-B receptor UVR8, with no coding region annotated. The record is from RefSeq and is a predicted model, not a curated record. Lineage: Eukaryota; Viridiplantae; Streptophyta; Bryopsida; Funariales; Funariaceae.
UUCGUUUUUUUUGGGCUGAUCACUACCAGAUGCUUUGAGAAUUCUGCUUUUCCUGCCAAACUCCCCAGUGGAUUUUGGGGACCAGAUUCUUCGUCAGGUCAGUGAAAUUCUGUGUUGGUGACGUAGGUUGCAAUGAUGACUAGGGGGCAUGUGGGUAUGGCUGAAUUUUGAAAACAAGUGGAUUGAAUGAGUAGGAUCUGAAGCAUGAGUUGGGAGAUCGUCGUGUAGAGAAAAUUGGGAGAUGUUGUUGCGUCAUGCGGUGAGGCCCCUUCGAGGUGGUCUUGUCGCGACUGCGAGGCAGCAAUGGGGAUCUCAGGAAAGGAGGAUGUCGGGAAUUGGAGACAAGCAUAGAUGGGUGGCGUUGUGGGGGAAUGGAGACUAUGGGCGCCUGGGUCAGGCUUCGGGUGAAUCAUUCUGGGAACCCACUGUCUGCAAGAGUAUGCAACAUUUGCAGCCUAUUGCUUUGGCUUGUGGCGGUGCGCAUACGCUUGUUCUUACGGAGGAAGGUCGUGUCUACGCGUCAGGACUGAACGAUUGGGGUCAAUUGGGCUUGCCUUUGUCAACUGGUCACUCUAUGGAAUUUUUGGAAGUCGAGGGUUUACCAGAUGAAGCCAAAUUUACGCACAUUGCAGCUGGGGACUUCCAUUCCGCUGCUAUUUCUGAGGAUGGGCGUGUCUACAUGUGGGGUAGAAACACACAAGGGCAGCUCGGUCUUGGAAAACGAGGGAAGGGGAAAGUGUGUGCAGCACAGUGGGUGGAGUCUUUAAAGGAUUUUCGUAUACAGGCAUUAGCUCUUGGCGCUGAGCACUCGCUUGCCCUUUCUGAGGAGGGUGAGGUGCUUAGCUGGGGAACGAGCUUGAAUGGACGCCUUGGACAUGGAGAGGGUCAUAGAUCAUCUUCCAUGUUUAGUAUAUUUCGUAAAUCCAGUGAAUACACACCCAGACUAGUGAAGGGCUUUCGUGACGUCAAGGUGUCGAAAGUUGCAGCUGGACUGACUCACUCUGCCUGCCUGGAUGAGCAAGGAUCACUAUUCACGUUUGGUAAAGGUCGAGAAUGCCAACUGGGUUUAGGUGGUGAUAGAGACAUUUCUGAGCCGAAGCGAGUACCGGUCAUUCCCCCAGUGGAGGAGAUAGCUUGUGGAGGCUAUCACACUGGUGCAAUCUCUCGUGUGAAACGGUCAGCUGUACAUGUGGGGUUCCAACGAGUAUGGUUGUCUUGGUUUUGGGUACAAGCAUCAAAAUGCAACUUCGUUGCCUAUGCUUGUGGAGGGUGCCUUGGAAUCACUGAGAGUGACACAGGUUCAAUGUGGAUGGAAACAUACGAUGGCUCUCACAGUUGAUGGAGAUGUAUUCGCCUGGGGUUGGGGAGGCUCGCAAGGCACACAUGGAGUAGAUGGUCUUUCGUCUGGUGGACAAUUGGGACUUGGCAACGAGAAUGAUUUUUUGGAGCCUACACAAGUUAAGUCGAAGAACAUGAAGGCUAUUCAAAUAUCUUGCGGGUUCAAUCACUCUGGAGCAAUAUUGGAGGAGCAAUAAGCGAGGCACUAGAAUUAUCUGCUGCAUUUUGCUCAAGAGCUCACAAUCUUUGCUCUCGGGUCGAGACAGUAAUAAUGAUGGGAGUCAGGAGGUCUCAGAUGUAGAUAUCUAACUCCAGUAGCAGAUUCAAAAAACUCUAGAGAUUCCUUCAGUAGUUAGUGCCUAGUCCUGGUGUGGAAGCAUGCAGUUAGACAACGUAGCUGCAAACUGAUUCAGUUAAAGGUUCUUUGUAUCCCUAAGGAUUCUCCCUCUAAAGAUUUUGGCUCAGGUUUUGUAGAUACAAAAACUUUGAGCAUCCAAGUAGGGAUUGAUGCAAUCUCGAUGUUGAUGAGCCCUUAGCUUUUACCAUCAGAUUGCUGUGAGUCUUGUUGUUGCACAUGUUUCCACCUCAUGGUUUUUUAAUUUCAUUAAGUGGGAAACCAUUUUCUAGAUUCAA